This 466-nucleotide ribosomal RNA is filed under the name uncultured bacterium. Its description in RNAcentral is "partial 16S ribosomal RNA". It matches the Rfam family "Bacterial small subunit ribosomal RNA", at positions 28 to 507 of the family's 1533-position model. The record is from RNAcentral.
GAUGAACGCUGGCGGCGUGCUUAACACAUGCAAGUCGAACGAUGAAGCCCAGCUUGCUGGGUGGAUUAGUGGCGAACGGGUGAGUAACACGUGAGUAACCUGCCCUUGACUCUGGGAUAAGCCUGGGAAACUGGGUCUAAUACUGGAUAUGACUUCUCAUCGCAUGGUGGGGGGUGGAAAGAUUUAUUGGUCUUGGAUGGACUCGCGGCCUAUCAGCUUGUUGGUGAGGUAAUGGCUCACCAAGGCGACGACGGGUAGCCGGCCUGAGAGGGUGACCGGCCACACUGGGACUGAGACACGGCCCAGAGUCCUACGGGAGGCAGCAGUGGGGAAUAUUGCACAAUGGGCGCAAGCCUGAUGCAGCGACGCCGCGUGAGGGAUGACGGCCUUCGGGUUGUAAACCUCUUUCAGUAGGGAAGAAGCGAGAGUGACGGUACCUGCAGAAGAAGCGACGGCUAACUACGUG